GACGAAUGCUGGCGGCGUGCCUAAUACAUGCAAGUUGAGCGAUGAAGCUUGGUGCUUGCACCAAUUUGAAGAGCAGCGAACGGGUGAGUAACGCGUGGGGAAUCUGCCUUUGAGCGGGGGACAACAUUUGGAAACGAAUGCUAAUACCGCAUAACAACUUUAAACAUAAGUUUUAAGUUUGAAAGAUGCAAUUGCAUCACUCAAAGAUGAUCCCGCGUUGUAUUAGCUAGUUGGUGAGGUAAAGGCUCACCAAGGCGAUGAUACAUAGCCGACCUGAGAGGGUGAUCGGCCACAUUGGGACUGAGACACGGCCCAAACUCCUACGGGAGGCAGCAGUAGGGAAUCUUCGGCAAUGGACGAAAGUCUGACCGAGCAACGCCGCGUGAGUGAAGAAGGUUUUCGGAUCGUAAAACUCUGUGGGUAGAGAAGAACGUUGGUGAGAGUGGAAAGCUCAUCAAGUGACGGUAACUACCCAGAAAGGGACGGCUAACUACGUG
RNAcentral lists this ribosomal RNA (497 nucleotides) under uncultured bacterium. RNAcentral describes it as "partial 16S ribosomal RNA". It matches the Rfam family "Bacterial small subunit ribosomal RNA", at positions 28 to 507 of the family's 1533-position model. The record is from RNAcentral.